AUCCUUCUGGUUCAUGAAAAUGAUGAAUGGGGUUUUCACGCUAGCACUGCGUGAGAUGUGCAGCCUUUUUUCUUGUUACGCUUUGCACAUUACCCAUCUGAUC
This 103-nucleotide small nucleolar RNA is filed under the name Lepisosteus oculatus (spotted gar). RNAcentral describes it as "Small nucleolar RNA U13". It matches the Rfam family "Small nucleolar RNA U13". Lineage: Eukaryota; Metazoa; Chordata; Actinopteri; Semionotiformes; Lepisosteidae. The record is from Rfam by way of RNAcentral.